GUGGGGAAUAUUGGACAAUGGGGGCAACCCUGAUCCAGCAAUGCCGCGUGAGUGAUGAAGGCCUUCGGGUUGUAAAGCUCUUUUGCCAGGGACGAUGAUGACGGUACCUGGAGAAUAAGCCCCGGCUAACUUCGUGCCAGCAGCCGCGGUAAUACGAAGGGGGCAAGCGUUGUUCGGAAUUACUGGGCGUAAAGGGCGCGUAGGCGGCUCUAUCAGUCAGGCGUGAAAUUCCCGGGCUCAACCCGGGGACUGCGCUUGAUACUGUAGGGCUUGAAUUCGGGAGAGGAUGGUGGAAUUCCCAGUGUAGAGGUGAAAUUCGUAGAUAUUGGGAAGAACACCGGUGGCGAAGGCGGCCAUCUGGUCCGAGAUUGACGCUGAGGCGCGAAAGCGUGGGGAGCAAACAGGAUUAGAAACCCCAGUAGUCC
This 425-nucleotide ribosomal RNA is filed under the name uncultured bacterium. Its description in RNAcentral is "bacterial SSU rRNA". It matches the Rfam family "Bacterial small subunit ribosomal RNA", at positions 354 to 796 of the family's 1533-position model. The record is from RNAcentral.